This 525-nucleotide ribosomal RNA is filed under the name uncultured bacterium. RNAcentral describes it as "bacterial SSU rRNA". It matches the Rfam family "Bacterial small subunit ribosomal RNA", at positions 355 to 896 of the family's 1533-position model. The record is from RNAcentral.
UGGGGAAUAUUGGACAAUGGGGGAAACCCUGAUCCAGCGACGCCGCGUGAGUGAAGAAGUAUUUCGGUAUGUAAAGCUCUAUCAGCAGGGAAGAAAAUGACGGUACCUGACUAAGAAGCCCCGGCUAACUACGUGCCAGCAGCCGCGGUAAUACGUAGGGGGCAAGCGUUAUCCGGAUUUACUGGGUGUAAAGGGAGCGCAGACGGCAAUGCAAGUCUGAAGUGAAAGGCGUGGGCUCAACCCAUGAACUGCUUUGGAAACUGUAUAGCUUGAGUGUCGGAGGGGUAAGCGGAAUUCCUAGUGUAGCGGUGAAAUGCGUAGAUAUUAGGAGGAACACCGGAGGCGAAGGCGGCUUACUGGACGACAACUGACGUUGAGGCUCGAAGGCGUGGGGAGCAAACAGGAUUAGAUACCCUGGUAGUCCACGCAGUAAACGAUGAAUACUUGGUGUCGGGGAGGUAAACUCUUCGGUGCCGCAAGCUAACGCAUUAAGUAUUCCACCUGGGGAGUACGUUCGCAAGAAUG